Molecule: ribosomal RNA, 451 nt
Filed under: uncultured bacterium
Lineage: Bacteria
Description: bacterial SSU rRNA
Rfam family: Bacterial small subunit ribosomal RNA
Source: RNAcentral
AACGAACGCUGGCGGCGUGGUUAAGACAUGCAAGUCGUACGGUUGCGUUGUAGCAAUAUGGCGCAAUAGUGGCGGACGGGUGAGUAAUGAAUAGGUAACGUACCCCGAACUCAGGGAUAGCGUCGGGAGCUUGCUCCCUUUGCGAAAGUGACGGUAAUACCUGAUGAUAUCCUCGGUUGGCAUCAACUGGGAAUCAAAGGCGGGGACCCGCAAGGGCCUGUUGGUUUGGGAGCGGCCUAUUUCCUAUCAGCUUGUUGGUGAGGUAACGGCUCACCAAGGCUUGACGGGUAGCCGGACUGAGAGGUUGGACGGCCACAUCGGGACUGAGACACUGCCCCGGACACCUACGGGUGGCUGCAGCAACGAAUAUUCCGCAAUGGACGAAAGUCUGACGGAGCGACGCCGCGUGCAGGAUGAAGUCCCUCGGGAUGUAAACUGCUGUCAGGGUGAG